Helianthus annuus (common sunflower) is the source of this 107-nucleotide non-coding RNA. Lineage: Eukaryota; Viridiplantae; Streptophyta; Magnoliopsida; Asterales; Asteraceae. The record is from Rfam.
AGCCCGUGGAAUGGACAUUUCCUUAGAAGUUCUUUAAAACGUUCCCUCGCUUCAAAGAGAGUUUCUUUGUGUUCUUGGUCAAAAGAAAGAAUCUUGUUUCUGAGUUC